UACGUAGGUGGCAAGCGUUGUCCGGAUUUACUGGGCGUAAAGGGCGCGUAGGCGGCCGCCUAAGUCAGACGUGAAAUCCCUCGGCUCAACCGGGGAACUGCGUCUGAUACUGGGUGGCUUGAAUUCGGGAGAGGGAUGCGGAAUUCCAGGUGUAGCGGUGAAAUGCGUAGAUAUCUGGAGGAACACCGGUGGCGAAGGCGGCAUCCUGGACCGAGAUUGACGCUGAGGCACGAAAGCCAGGGGAGCAAACGGG
RNAcentral lists this ribosomal RNA (253 nucleotides) under uncultured bacterium. Its description in RNAcentral is "partial 16S ribosomal RNA". It matches the Rfam family "Bacterial small subunit ribosomal RNA", at positions 524 to 776 of the family's 1533-position model. The record is from RNAcentral.